RNAcentral lists this ribosomal RNA (40 nucleotides) under Perebea humilis. RNAcentral describes it as "partial 26S ribosomal RNA". Lineage: Eukaryota; Viridiplantae; Streptophyta; Magnoliopsida; Rosales; Moraceae. The record is from RNAcentral.
AAAAGCGACCCCAGGUCAGGCGGGGCUACCCGCCGAGUUU